Erinaceus europaeus (western European hedgehog) is the source of this 117-nucleotide small nuclear RNA. Its record names the gene U4. It matches the Rfam family "U4 spliceosomal RNA". From Rfam's summary of the family: U4 small nuclear RNA (U4 snRNA) is a component of the major U2-dependent spliceosome. The structure of U4 snRNA from yeast and human has been reported. NCBI's taxonomy places the organism in Eukaryota, Metazoa, Chordata, Mammalia, Eulipotyphla, Erinaceidae. The record is from Ensembl.
AACUUUGCACAGUGGCAGUAUCAUAGCCAAUGAGGUUUAUUCGAGGUGCGAUAAGUGCUAAUUAAAAACAUAUUCAUAUGUAUUUGCCCAUUUUUCUAUGGUCCUAUCUGCCGGGAU